RNAcentral lists this ribosomal RNA (428 nucleotides) under uncultured eukaryote. RNAcentral's name for it is "bacterial SSU rRNA". It matches the Rfam family "Eukaryotic small subunit ribosomal RNA", at positions 592 to 1016 of the family's 1831-position model. The record is from RNAcentral.
CAAGAGCGUAUAUUAAAGUUGUUGCAGUUAAAAGCUCGUAGUUGGAUUUCUGGUACAAUGCGCCUGACCCGCGGCAGUAAUGCCUGUGAGUGUCGGUGCGCGUUUACCAUCCUUCUAGAAAACGUUUCUACCCUUUACUGGGCCGGACUCGCGAUCUAGAUCUUUUACUUUUGAAAAAUUAGAGUGUUCAAAGCAGGCGCUUCGCCUGAAUAAUGGUGCAUGGAAUAAUGGAAUAGGACCUCGGUUCUAUUUUGUUGGUUUUCGGAACUCGAGGUAAUGAUUAAGAGGGGACAGACGGGGCAUUUGUAUUCAAACGACAGAGGUGAAAUUCUUGGACCGUUUGAAGACAAACUACUGCGAAAGCAUUUGCCAAGAAUGUUUUCAUUAAUCAAGAACGAAAGUUAAAGGUUCGAAGAUGAUCAGAUACC